AAAGGAAUAGACGGGGACCCGCACAAGCGGUGGAGCAUGUGGUUUAAUUCGAAGCAACGCGAAGAACCUUACCAGGGUUUGACAUACCGGUGAAAGGCUAAGAGAUUAGUUGUUCCUUCGGGACACCGGAUACAGGUGGUGCAUGGUUGUCGUCAGCUCGUGUCGUGAGAUGUUGGGUUAAGUCCCGCAACGAGCGCAACCCUUAUCGCUAGUUGCCAGCAUUAAGUUGGGUACUUUAGCGAGACUGCCAGUGAUAAACUGGAGGAAGGCGGGGAUGAGGUCAAAUCAUCAUGCCCCUUAUACCCUGGGCUACACACGUGCUACAAUGGUCGGUACAAAGAGAAGCGAAACGGUGACGUCAAGCAAACCUCAUAAAGCCGAUCUCAGUUCGGAUUGUAGUCUGCAACUCGACUACAUGAAGAUGGAAUCGCUAGUAAUCGCGGAUCAGAAUGCCGCGGUGAAUACGUUCCCGGGUCUUGUACACACCGCCCGU
RNAcentral lists this ribosomal RNA (493 nucleotides) under uncultured bacterium. RNAcentral's name for it is "bacterial SSU rRNA". It matches the Rfam family "Bacterial small subunit ribosomal RNA", at positions 903 to 1397 of the family's 1533-position model. The record is from RNAcentral.